ACGGCGAGUGAAGCGGGAAGAGCUCAAAUUUGAAAUCUGGUAGCCUUCGGUUGCCCGAGUUGUAAUCUAGAGAAGUGUUUUCCGUGCCGGCCCAUGUACAAGUCCCUUGGAACAGGGCGUCAUAGAGGGUGAGAAUCCCGUCCUUGACAUGGACCCCCGGUGCUUUGUGGAUACACUUUCAACGAGUCGAGUUGUUUGGGAAUGCAGCUCAAAAUGGGUGGUGAAUUCCAUCUAAAGCUAAAUAUUGGCGAGAGACCGAUAGCGAACAAGUACCGUGAGGGAAAGAUGAAAAGCACUUUGGAAAGAGAGUUAAACAGUACGUGAAAUUGUUGAAAGGGAAACGAUUGAAGUCAGUCAUGGCUCUUUGGUAUUUAUAUCAUUGAGUGGGGUCAACAUCAGUUUUGAGCGAUGGAUAAAGGCACUAGGAAGGUAGCACUCUCGGGUGAACUUAUAGCCUAGCGUCAUAUACAUUGUUUGGGACUGAGGAACGCAGCAUGCCUUUAUGGCCGGGAUU
RNAcentral lists this ribosomal RNA (514 nucleotides) under Naganishia albidosimilis. RNAcentral's name for it is "LSU rRNA". It matches the Rfam family "Eukaryotic large subunit ribosomal RNA", at positions 86 to 601 of the family's 3401-position model. Lineage: Eukaryota; Fungi; Basidiomycota; Tremellomycetes; Filobasidiales; Filobasidiaceae. The record is from RNAcentral.